RNAcentral lists this ribosomal RNA (253 nucleotides) under uncultured bacterium. Its description in RNAcentral is "partial 16S ribosomal RNA". It matches the Rfam family "Bacterial small subunit ribosomal RNA", at positions 524 to 776 of the family's 1533-position model. The record is from RNAcentral.
UACGUAGGGGGCAAGCGUUAUCCGGAUUUACUGGGUGUAAAGGGAGCGUAGACGGCGAUGCAAGCCAGAUGUGAAAGCCCGGGGCUCAACCCCGGGACUGCAUUUGGAACUGUAUAGCUAGAGUGUCGGAGAGGCAGGCGGAAUUCCUAGUGUAGCGGUGAAAUGCGUAGAUAUUAGGAGGAACACCAGUGGCGAAGGCGGCCUGCUGGACGAUGACUGACGUUGAGGCUCGAAAGCGUGGGGAGCAAACAGG